Molecule: ribosomal RNA, 301 nt
Filed under: uncultured bacterium
Lineage: Bacteria
Description: partial 16S ribosomal RNA
Rfam family: Bacterial small subunit ribosomal RNA
Source: RNAcentral
CAGCCGCCACGGUAAUACGAGGGGGGCAAGCGUUGUUCGGAAUUAUUGGGCGUAAAGGGCGCGUAGGCGGUUUGACAAGUCUGAUGUGAAAUCUCUGGGCUCAACCCAGAGUCUGCAUCGGAAACUGUCGAGCUUGAGUAUGGGAGAGGUGAGUGGAAUUUCCGGUGUAGCGGUGAAAUGCGUAGAUAUCGGAAGGAACACCUGUGGCGAAAGCGGCUCACUGGACCAUUACUGACGCUGAGGCGCGAAAGCUAGGGGAGCAAACAGGAUUAGAUACCCCCGUAGUCCCUGUCUCUUAUAC